RNAcentral lists this ribosomal RNA (254 nucleotides) under uncultured bacterium. RNAcentral describes it as "partial 16S ribosomal RNA". It matches the Rfam family "Bacterial small subunit ribosomal RNA", at positions 524 to 777 of the family's 1533-position model. The record is from RNAcentral.
UACGAAGGGGGCUAGCGUUGUUCGGAUUUACUGGGCGUAAAGCGCACGUAGGCGGAUCGUUAAGUCGGGGGUGAAAUCCUGGAGCUCAACUCCAGAACUGCCUUCGAUACUGAGAGUCUCGAGUCCGGGAGAGGUGAGUGGAACUGCGAGUGUAGAGGUGAAAUUCGUAGAUAUUCGCAAGAACACCAGUGGCGAAGGCGGCUCACUGGCCCGGUACUGACGCUGAGGUGCGAAAGCGUGGGGAGCAAACGGGG